AGCCUGGCUGGGUUGUUUUGGACC
This 24-nucleotide non-coding RNA is filed under the name Cricetulus griseus (Chinese hamster). The record is from RNAcentral. Lineage: Eukaryota; Metazoa; Chordata; Mammalia; Rodentia; Cricetidae.